GGUGUGUGUUAUUCGCUGUGGCGUGGAGUUCUUCUAAGGACCUCAACUCCUCCAUUUGGGUGAACCAAGUUUUCAGUGGCGGAGUGGUCUGCUGUUUCCAGUGUUGUGGUAUGGUAGUUUUAGCUAUGUUUAGUAUGCGGAUCGUCAGUGAUUUCUUAUAUAUGGUCCUAGGGACCUUAGUGAGGUGUAGAAGCAUUUCUGCUGGGCCGAAUGGGGGUGG
Molecule: non-coding RNA, 220 nt
Organism: Pelobates cultripes (western spadefoot toad)
Lineage: Eukaryota; Metazoa; Chordata; Amphibia; Anura; Pelobatidae
Source: the annotation of a GenBank genome assembly